UUAAGUGAUGAUAGCCUAGGAGAUACACCUGUACCCAUGCCGAACACAGAAGUUAAGCCCUAGAACGCCGGAAGUAGUUGGGGGUUGCCCCCUGUGAGAUAUGGUAGUCGCUUAGC
This 116-nucleotide ribosomal RNA is filed under the name Klebsiella pneumoniae. Lineage: Bacteria; Pseudomonadati; Pseudomonadota; Gammaproteobacteria; Enterobacterales; Enterobacteriaceae. RNAcentral also lists the same sequence under 2 other names. The record is from RNAcentral.